CCCAAACUCAAUGGGAGACUCACCAUCAGCCUGAACAGAGAUGAUCUGAAGUAAGAAGAAGAAGACAGAUCCCACUCCCAGGAGAAAGCUUCUUAAAAUUUUUUCCCUUAGAAAUUUGAAGCGGGGCAGAAAUGUUCAGUCUGGCAAGAAACUAUGAGCUACCAGAAGCAGAAAUAAGGAGCUGACCCUUCUCACUGCCAGAAGUCCUGGUGUCCUCAAAGGCAAGGUGUAGGCAGCCACAGGCAUGAUCUGAGAAUGAAGAACUUGUGUAGUAUUGGUUUUGGUCUCACAAAAGUGACUCAAGCUCAGGAACUCCUGUAUGAGAAAUUCAAGGAUGUAAGUAACACCGUAGCAGUAGAAGUUUUUAAAACACCAACAUUUGAUGAAUUUGGGAAGAUGAUGCUCCAGUCCUGUUGACUUUAAAAUAUUGUGACCUUCUUCCUCUCCUGUAUACCCAUACAGGCAUAUGAAUCUACAGGCAGAAAACUUGCAGGAAUGAACAGUUUGUAGAAUGACCUGGCUUCUUCCUGCCAUCCCAUCUCAAAGGCAAAGGAAGUCUGUAAGUGUGGAAAGAAAAAGAAGAGUUGUAGGCAUCUAUUGUCAAAAACCCAAAAGAAGUGAAAGGAAAAUGAAAACCUGAUUUAUAGGGUUCUGCUGCACUUUGGAACUGACUACAGAUCAUGACUAUGGAAACACCAGCAACAAACCAUUUUCUAACAAUGAGCAGGAGGAGUCAGAAGGUUGACUCAUAAGUCAGCACCUACUCAGUUACCUACUACUGAUUUCUUCAGAGGUCUCAAUAUCUUUUGCAAUUUUUCCAGUUUUAAAACUUUCAGCCAAAAUGUCCACACACAGCUGCUGUACAGGCAAUCUUAUGGGCAAGUACACCUGUCCCCAAACUGGACACAGACAGGAUAGAACUGUUUGGUUUGAAGAAGCUGAAAGAGUUAUUUCAAUGACAGGUUUAGGUAAUUUGCUCUAUAAUUUGUAGCAGAGGUUUGGACUGUCUGUAUUACUUCUAACUACAGGGAAAAUAAUAACUGUUAAAUUUAACAGCAUCUCUGAGAAUAUGAAUGCAUGGUGUAAAGUUGUGGCAUACCGAGUGAGAGUAGUUUUAGUAACAUUUUAAUUAAACAGCUACUGUGAAUGCCAAAUCAUGUGCUCUUAAAUUGAUGAAAUUCAAGGAAAAUACAUUACAGCUACAUCUACCUGUGACCACACCUCGUGUGAGCUGAAGUAUGAUAUAUACUGGGAUCUGACUAGUCUGAGUGCUAUACAAGAGCUGACUUAUUCUUUGGUUACUUUAAAAUUGUCAGAAAACACCUCGGUUUUGACGGGAAAUAACUUUUAAUAAAGGAUA
Long non-coding RNA from Serinus canaria (Common canary), 1360 nucleotides. RefSeq lists it as uncharacterized. The record is from RefSeq and is a predicted model, not a curated record. Lineage: Eukaryota; Metazoa; Chordata; Aves; Passeriformes; Fringillidae. The transcript has 5 exons.